AACGAACGCUGGCGGCAUGCCUAACACAUGCAAGUCGAACGAAGCCUUCGGGCUUAGUGGCGCACGGGUGCGUAACGCGUGGGAAUCUGCCCUUGGGUUCGGAAUAACAGUUAGAAAUGACUGCUAAUACCGAAUGAUGUCUUCGGACCAAAGAUUUAUCGCCCAAGGAUGAGCCCGCGUCGGAUUAGCUGGUUGGUGAGGUAAAGGCUCACCAAGGCGACGAUCCGUAGCUGGUCUGAGAGGAUGAUCAGCCACACUGGGACUGAGACACGGCCCAGACUCCUACGGGAGGCAGCAGUGGGGAAUAUUGGACAAUGGGCGAAAGCCUGAUCCAGCAAUGCCGCGUGAGUGAUGAAGGCCUUAGGGUUGUAAAGCUCUUUUACCCGGGAUGAUAAUGACAGUACCGGGAGAAUAAGCCCCGGCUAACUCCGUGCCAGCAGCCGCGGUAAU
RNAcentral lists this ribosomal RNA (450 nucleotides) under uncultured bacterium. RNAcentral's name for it is "bacterial SSU rRNA". It matches the Rfam family "Bacterial small subunit ribosomal RNA", at positions 29 to 524 of the family's 1533-position model. The record is from RNAcentral.